GACGAACGCUGGCGGCGUGCCUAAUACAUGCAAGUUGAGCGAUGAAGAUUGGUGCUUGCACCAAUUUGCAGAGCAGCGAACGGGUGAGUAACGCGUGGGGAAUCUGCCUUUGAGCGGGGGACAACAUUUGGAAACGAAUGCUAAUACCGCAUAACAACUUUAAACAUAAGUUUUAAGUUUGAAAGAUGCAAUUGCAUCACUCAAAGAUGAUCCCGCGUUGUAUUAGCUAGUUGGUGAGGUAAAGGCUCACCAAGGCGAUGAUACAUAGCCGACCUGAGAGGGUGAUCGGCCACAUUGGGGCUGAGACACGGCCCAAACUCCUACGGGAGGCAGCAGUAGGGAAUCUUCGGCAAUGGACGAAAGUCUGACCGAGCAACGCCGCGUGAGGGAAGAAGGUUUUCGGAUCGUAAAACUCUGUUGGUAGAGAAGAACGUUGGUGAGAGUGGAAAGCUCAUCAAGUGACGGUAACUACCCAGAAAGGGACGGCUAACUACGUG
Molecule: ribosomal RNA, 497 nt
Filed under: uncultured bacterium
Lineage: Bacteria
Description: partial 16S ribosomal RNA
Rfam family: Bacterial small subunit ribosomal RNA
Source: RNAcentral